RNAcentral lists this small RNA (3064 nucleotides) under Pongo abelii (Sumatran orangutan). RNAcentral's name for it is "retained intron". Lineage: Eukaryota; Metazoa; Chordata; Mammalia; Primates; Hominidae. The record is from RNAcentral.
GAAGGCAACGCGGUGGACCUGGGCCAGAUGAGCAGCUUCUACAUCGGCCUGGGUUCCCGCCUCCACUGCAAUAUCUUCUCCUACCACUACUCCGGCUACGGUGCCAGCUCGGGCAGGCCCUCCGAGACGAACCUCUGCGCCGACAUCAACGCCGCCUGGCAGGCCCUGCGCACCAGGUGAGGGCGACCCCGGGGGCGGCUCAGCCUGGGCACACCCGAGAGGGGACCAGGCUGGGGGCCGGGGGCCGGGGGAAGGGGCGGGCUUCCCUGGGAGGAAGGUGGGCGGCCCUGCAGGAGGGGAGCCACAGUGGACGCAUGCGGCCAGAGAGCCGGACAGGUGAGCUCAGGCAUGCGGGUGCCGCCUCCACAUGGCUGAGGUGUGGCCAGGCGGUCCCCCCACACCCUGGCCUGUGGACCCAGGCUCCCUGGGAUGCCCUGGCCUGAGGACAGGAAGGGGCUGAGCUUGUCACAGGGGCGUGGACGCCACCCGGCGGGAGGGGGUGGGUGGUGUCAGGGGGUCUGUGCACGUGUGGCUGGGAGCCCACGGGCCGAGGCAGCACUUGUGGCCAGGUGAGGUGAGGCUGCUGCAUCGAGGUCCAGAGGCCUGGCCCAUGAGGCCCCGUGGCUGUGGAGUUCGGCCAUCCCGGGGCAGGGCCUGCAGGGUCAGGUGCAGACCCCCAGCACACACCUGAGGUCUCGGCCAGCCUCGAUUCCAGAUCCAUCCCUGCUAAUCAUCCAGGUCCCCAGCCCUGCGCUUGCCUGGGCCCUUCACUGGUGUUUGAGCACCGCCCGGGCCAGUGCUGCUCUGGACCAGAAGACCCGCGUGGGCCUCUGGAGGCCUUUCCUGCUCGCCACCCGCUGGGGCUGUCUCGUCCUGGCCCUGCCCUGCCCAGCCCAGUGGUCGACCCGCUCCUGCAGGGGCCAGGCGCAGCUCUGAGAAGUCAGAGGCCCUAGGGAGGUGGGGUCCUCGUUGCCUUGGCGAUAUCCCAGGCAGUCCCUGCCGUGGGCCUGGGAGCUGGGUCCCCUGGCACCAACCUGGCUCUGGGGGCCUUCCGGCAGUGUGGGGCGCCGAAACCAAGCACCACUUCACGUAGCUUCCUCGGCCCCCUCCUGUCUCUACUGCCCGGGGCACUGGCAGAGUCACAGCCCCCAUGGCCAGCUCUGAGCUCUGUCUGCUCGGCCAUCUGUCCUGCUGCCGCUUUGUCCUGCAGGAUCCUCUGCCCAGAGCCCUGAGGGGGAGGCCAGAUCGCUCUCAGGGCCUCCACUGAGGAUGUCUCUUGUUUGAUUGUCUGAGUGGUGACAUCCAGGUGGCAGCUGGGGGCUCCUGCCUGGAGCAGGUGACAGGGCUGGGCUGGCUCAGCACACUACUGGCCUUGGCUGCCAGGGAGCAGGCCAGGGAGGCUGAGGCAGAGCUGGGGCCACAGGCACAAGCCAGGCAGCAUCCUUUGGGGCAUGGGUGAGCAGUGAGCUGUGGAGUGCUGUCAGAAGGCUGGGAUUCCAGGCCAGGGAGGGGGACAGCCCUGCUGGUGGAGUCGAAUGCAGGGCAGACGGGAAGGCACACCUGCCCAUGCUCCUGCCUCCCAGGAGGUCAUCUGCCUGGGAUCCGAGCCUGGAGCUUGUAGGAGGAGAGUUCUGGGGUCCCGGCAUCCACAGGGUAGCAGGUGGGUCCCGCGUGGUUGGGACUCGGCACGAGAGGCCUUGGGACUGGUGCUGGAUCAGCUGGGCCAGGGCCGCAUCCAGUGACCUGGGGGUGGGGGUGGCCCUGGGUGGGAUCUGGUGGUGCUGAGGUGGCCGAGGACUUGUCCACUCCCAAGGGAAGGCGCUGGUGGGAGGAGGUGCUGCCCCCGCAGUCGCCACCCUCGAUGUUGACCUGGGUUGGGCUGGCACCUCAUCGGGAUGGGACUCUGAGAAUCCAAAAUCGGGUGGAGACAUCUGGGGACACAGCUGCCUGAAUUCCUCAUGGCCAAGGGUGUGGCAAGGGUUGCAGGGAGGAAGAGUGUACCCUGUCCCCGCCAGUGCACCAGGAACGGCUUUCUAACCUGGGCAGGAAGGCGUGAAGCAUUCAGGAUGUGGGGGUGGGGGGGGCGGGGGGCACACAGUUCCCAGUGUGCGCCAGGGUGACCAGGAGAAGGAGAGGCGCCAGGGCUUCCCCUACCCUAGCCCGAGGGGGACUCCCUAGCUAGGAUCCAGCAGAUCCUGGCUAGGAAACGCCAGUGAACCAUAGCGCCAGGGAACAGGACCAGGCCGCCGGCUCCGCCCACCGCUGCGGUGUUGGGGGACUGGCGGUGGCCUUUGGGACUGGUGUGGAGCCUAGGCCUGACCCACUGACUUGGCUGAGCGGGGAGAGUCGCAUCCGGAGCUGGGCCUGGGGACGCCCGCUGGCGGGAGGGGUGCGCGCGUUGGAGGCCGCGGCUGACUCUGCUCUGGUGCCGCCAGGUACCGCAUCAGCCCGGACAGCAUCAUCCUGUACCGGCAGAGCAUGGGCACGGUGCCCACCGUGGACCUGGCCUCGCGCUAGGAGUCCGCCACGGUGGUGCUGCACUCGCCGCUCACCUUGGACCUGAGCGUCGCCUUCCCCACACCAAGAAGACCUACUGCUUGGAUGCCUUCCCCAAAAUCCAGAAGGUGUCCAAGAUCACGUCGCCCGUGCUCAUCAUCCAGGGCACGAAAGACGAGGUGAUCGACUUCUCGCACGGGCUGGCGCUCUACCAGCGCUGCCCCAAGGCCUGUGGAGCCGCUGUGGGUGGAGGGCGCCGGGCACAAAGACAUCUAGCUCUACAGCCAGUACCUGGAGCGCCUGCGCCGCUUCAUCUCCCAGGAGCUGCGCAGCCAGAGCGCCUAGCGGCCGCAGGGGCCCCAACCGGCCGGACCUCAGCAAUAAGGCGGCCCCCGGACCUCACCCCGCGCCGGGCCCCCAGGGACUGCAUGCGGACCCCCUAGCGGCCCGGGGGACCCCGCCCCGUCCCAGGGGCCGUGGACGAUGUACAGGCAACAGAGCUACGCACUCCUUUCCUUUUGGAAGCAAGAAGAAAAAUCGUGAAAACGGAAAUUAAAGAUUUAAUUUU